GCUGAGGCUAGUAGAUAUCUUGAGUUUGGGGAGGCUGAGGUUCAUGGAUCUCUUGAUCUUGGGAGUGCUGAGUUAGAGUGGGCUAGGCUAAUAGAGUAUCAGAAGUAAGUUUGGCAUUAAUAUGGUUCACCUCCAGAAGCAGGGGGUUACCAGAUUGCCCAAGGAGGAGUGAACCAGUCUAGGUCCAAAAUAGAGCAGGUCAAAGCUUCUGCAUCUAUCAACAGUGGAAUCUGCCCAGGAAUAGUCACUGUACUUUUAACAUGGACAACAUAGAGAGAACCAGUCUCU
This 288-nucleotide signal recognition particle RNA is filed under the name Phascolarctos cinereus (koala). RNAcentral's name for it is "Metazoan signal recognition particle RNA (ENSPCIG00000027928.2)". It matches the Rfam family "Metazoan signal recognition particle RNA". Rfam says of the family: The signal recognition particle (SRP) is a universally conserved ribonucleoprotein. It is involved in the co-translational targeting of proteins to membranes. The eukaryotic SRP consists of a 300-nucleotide 7S RNA and six proteins: SRPs 72, 68, 54, 19, 14, and 9. The record is from RNAcentral. Lineage: Eukaryota; Metazoa; Chordata; Mammalia; Diprotodontia; Phascolarctidae.